CCUACGGGUGGCAGCAGUGGGGAAUAUUGGGCAAUGGAGGCAACUCUGACCCAGCAACGCCGCGUGAGCGAUGAAGGUCUUCGGAUUGUAAAGCUCUUUAAGCGGGGACGAAGAAUGCGACAGUACUCGCAGAAUAAGCCUCGGCUAACUACGUGCCAGCAGCCGCGGUAAGACGGAGGGGGCAAGCGUUAUCCGGAAGGACUGGGGGUAAAGGGUGCGUAGGUGGUUUGGCAAGUUAGUAGCGAAAUCCCGGGGCUCAACCUCGGUACUACUACCAAAACUGUUGUACUUGAGUGCAGGAGGGGUAGAUGGAAUUCCCGGUGUAGCGGUGGAAUGCGUAGAUAUUAGGAAGAACACCGGCGGCGAAGGCGGUUCACUGGACUGUAACUGACACUGAGGCACGAAAGCGUGGGUAGCAAACAGGAUUAGAUACCCUUGUAGUC
This 443-nucleotide ribosomal RNA is filed under the name uncultured bacterium. RNAcentral describes it as "partial 16S ribosomal RNA". It matches the Rfam family "Bacterial small subunit ribosomal RNA", at positions 338 to 795 of the family's 1533-position model. The record is from RNAcentral.